Molecule: ribosomal RNA, 417 nt
Filed under: uncultured bacterium
Lineage: Bacteria
Description: bacterial SSU rRNA
Rfam family: Bacterial small subunit ribosomal RNA
Source: RNAcentral
GGGGAAUAUUGCACAAUGGGCGGAAGCCUGAUGCAGCGACGCCGCGUGAGGGAUGACGGCCUUCGGGUUGUAAACCUCUUUCGACAGGGAACAAGCUUCGUCUUUUGGCGGGGUGAGGGUACCUGUACAAGAAGCACCGGCUAACUACGUGCCAGCAGCCGCGGUAAUACGUAGGGUGCAAGCGUUGUCCGGAAUUAUUGGGCGUAAAGAGCUCGUAGGCGGCCUGUCGCGUCGGUUGUGAAAGCCCGGGGCUUAACCCCGGGUCUGCAGUCGAUACGGGCAGGCUAGAGUUCGGCAGGGGAGACUGGAAUUCCUGGUGUAGCGGUGAAAUGCGCAGAUAUCAGGAGGAACACCGGUGGCGAAGGCGGGUCUCUGGGCCGAUACUGACGCUGAGGAGCGAAAGCGUGGGGAGCGAAC